UUGGUGCUCAAUAAAUAUCUCCUGGACCAAAUCCAGGAGCCUUUAAUGCUGGAUCAAAGAUGGAGUUCUCCAGUGGAUGCAAUACUCACUGCAUGGUGCUGUGUUUUCUUGAUGGAGAUUGAAGC
This is a small nucleolar RNA of Bison bison bison, 125 nucleotides long. The record is from Ensembl. Lineage: Eukaryota; Metazoa; Chordata; Mammalia; Artiodactyla; Bovidae.